GCCAGACUCCUACGGGAGGCAGCAGUGGGGGAUAUUGCACAAUGGGGGAAACCCUGAUGCAGCGACGCCGCGUGGGUGAAGAAGUAUUUCGGUAUGUAAAGCCCUAUCAGCAGGGAAGAAAGAAGACGGUACCUGACUAAGAAGCCCCGGCUAACUACGUGCCAGCAGCCGCGGUAAUACGUAGGGGGCAAGCGUUAUCCGGAUUUACUGGGUGUAAAGGGAGCGUAGACGGCGAUGCAAGCCAGAUGUGAAAGCCCGGGGCUCAACCCCGGGACUGCAUUUGGAACUGUGUGGCUGGAGUGUCGGAGAGGCAGGCGGAAUUCCUAGUGUAGCGGUGAAAUGCGUAGAUAUUAGGAGGAACACCAGUGGCGAAGGCGGCCUGCUGGACGAUGACUGACGUUGAGGCUCGAAAGCGUGGGGAGCAAACAGGAUUAGAUACCCUAGUAC
This 447-nucleotide ribosomal RNA is filed under the name uncultured bacterium. RNAcentral describes it as "bacterial SSU rRNA". It matches the Rfam family "Bacterial small subunit ribosomal RNA", at positions 330 to 793 of the family's 1533-position model. The record is from RNAcentral.